UUGUUUUUUUCUGUUUUACGGACGAGCGGUGAAAUAUAAACCUCCACUAACUCAUAACCAGGUUAGAGAUCACCCAGAUCUAUCAUCACUAACCCACUCACUGAUUCCUCCGACACUCCUCGUUCUCUCCGUCUUCUGUGAGGUUGGCGUGACUUUGUGGAUCCGUGGAUGAAAGCUCAGAUUAUCAGCGCGGCCAGAUUAAAACACCUGAGGAGAGAAGGAGAGCCGCGAUGUCACUGCUGUUUGGUCAGCAGCAGGGGGCGCUCACCGUGUCAGCACCUUGUUCAAACACACACCCGACUUGUCCGCUGAGCACAAUUACAACCUUUCAGAUGCAUCGCUUAUCGACUCGGGCUGUGACCUCCAAUCACCGCAUGACCUUUGAACUCGCCCGGCGCUGGGAUAUUCCCGUUCGGGGAGGCUUGUUAUUGACUCAGAGUUUUCGUCUGCGUGUGGGUGUUUGUUGUUUUUCUGGCUCGUCUUCAAAUCUCUGCACUUCCUGUCCGACGUCAGCGCCGCCUUCAGCCGGAGCGAGAGAGCGAGAGAGCGAGAGAGCGAGAGGUUAUUGGCUCCAGCGUUCAGCAGCUGAGGAGAACGAGAACAUGAUUCACCUGCAGUGACACCAGGACAAAGGUGUGCGUGUGCACACUUCAACACUUCCUGCUUCACACUCGCUUGUCU
This is a long non-coding RNA of Solea senegalensis (Senegalese sole), 681 nucleotides long. RefSeq lists it as uncharacterized. Lineage: Eukaryota; Metazoa; Chordata; Actinopteri; Pleuronectiformes; Soleidae. The transcript has 6 exons. The record is from RefSeq and is a predicted model, not a curated record.